Molecule: non-coding RNA, 45 nt
Filed under: Trichobilharzia regenti
Lineage: Eukaryota; Metazoa; Platyhelminthes; Trematoda; Strigeidida; Schistosomatidae
Source: RNAcentral
AUUUAGAUGACAAGUCCUAGACAGGACGAAAUGCGCAUCCUAGAU